UAUUGAUACGAGAAAAAUUUAAAAUAUAGAAAAAAUUAAAAUGAACAACAAUACAGAUCUGCAUAAUUCCGUUGAUCAGGACUAUUCCGAAUUUCUCAGCGAGUAUUUACUGCAAAACAAUUCCCAAAGUAUCGAACCGGAAGCCAGUUACGAAGAUGGAGAAUUGGAAGCAGAGUGGUUGGUUUCCGCUGGUUAUCCAGAAUUGACAAAACCCUUCAAACAAGGGAUAGAGGUUUCUAAAACUGACUUGGAUCCCAUACUUACUACUUUAUCUAAGCCACAUGCUGAAGCGAUUGUACAACUGGUAAGGACCCUAAACAAAACGGUACGGGGGCGUACAAAAAACCGACAAAAACGGAAACCUGAUAUAAGAGAUGUAUUUCGCGAAUUUGAUAAAAGCGCAAACUGGAUGUAGAUAUGGUUUCACUCACCCUUGACAAUUGAUGUAUGCGUGUUGAGGUGUAUUGUUGUCUGUUGUGUUCUUCUUAAAAUCUGAGGAACGAAGUACAGGAACACGCUCACGAAGUGCCACACCAGAUUCUCUGGACUCUUUACAAAUUGAUCAAGUUUGGACAAAC
Molecule: unclassified non-coding RNA, 578 nt
Filed under: Drosophila yakuba
Lineage: Eukaryota; Metazoa; Arthropoda; Insecta; Diptera; Drosophilidae
Description: GE20111
Source: RNAcentral